RNAcentral lists this unclassified non-coding RNA (333 nucleotides) under soil metagenome. RNAcentral describes it as "partial contains 5.8S ribosomal RNA, internal transcribed spacer 2, and large subunit ribosomal RNA". The stretch from base 1 to 120 matches the Rfam family "5.8S ribosomal RNA", at positions 35 to 154 of the family's 154-position model. The record is from RNAcentral.
GAUGAAGAACGCAGCAAAAUGCGAUAAGUAAUGUGAAUUGCAGAAUUCAGUGAAUCAUCGAAUCUUUGAACGCACAUUGCGCCCGCCAGUAUUCUGGCGGGCAUGCCUGUUCGAGCGUCAUUUCAACCCUCAAGCUCAGCUUGGUGUUGGGACUCGCGGUAACCCGCGUUCCCCAAAUCGAUUGGCGGUCACGUCGAGCUUCCAUAGCGUAGUAAUCAUACACCUCGUUACUGGUAAUCGUCGCGGCCACGCCGUAAAACCCCAACUUCUGAAUGUUGACCUCAGAUCAGGUAGGAAUACCCGCUGAACUUAAGCAUAUCAAUAAGCGGAGGA